Zootermopsis nevadensis is the source of this 1294-nucleotide non-coding RNA. The record is from RefSeq and is a predicted model, not a curated record. NCBI's taxonomy places the organism in Eukaryota, Metazoa, Arthropoda, Insecta, Blattodea, Termopsidae.
CGUGGCGUUUGUCCUGCUGUUAUUUGGCUUAUGAUUAUUCUAGAUGUGUCAAUCAGUGAGCUGGAUUCUCUCUCCGGUGGUGAAAAUGAAGUGUUGAAUCUCUCGUAGUCCGAUAGAACGCGCGCUGGACUGGGAGUUGAGGUUAGAAGAGUGCUUCAGAAGACGUAGAGGAGGACAGCGUGACUGCUUGUGUGCGUGUGUGUUUUGUUGUGGCUCUGGUAGUCGAACGGUCAGUCAUGUAGCUCGGGGCCCGAACAUUGCCGAUUACUACCGACGUGUGCCGAGAGCGGAGACUGGCGGCCCGCGUGGUGUAGAACGCGCCGGUGUAUCUGCCACUACACUGGCAAGUUCGCAAGACAGGCAGGCUCCACGAAAUCAGAAGCAGUCGGGAAUUCUCUCAGGCAAGAGAAUCAGCAGCUUUCAAUUCGACACUCCACUUCGCUGGCGCCACCGACUACACAUUCCGUAAGGCGCUGCUGUCAGGCUCCGGUCAGGGGAAUAGGAGUAUGUUGGAGCCGCGUUGGAGGCCAGUGCAGGUGGAAGUUGUUUGGUGUUUUGGUGCAGACGACAAUUCACAAGUUAUGAUAUUCUAGGGUCGAGUCGAGUUAACUUGCAGAUUCGUCUUUUUGAUGGUUAUCGUUUCACGUAAGAUUCGUCAAUACAUGCUAACGCUUCGGAGAAACCUGCUGUCUCCACCUUCAGAGCUGAGAUCCUGAAAUUUCACUAAGGAAUUUGCCCUAUCAGAUAAAUCCCGAGGAAGACAGUCGAGAGGAGAAAAGACGCUCAGUGGACACCAACUAUAGACUGAUGACUGUUUUAUGGAAUUUAUCGUCAUUACUGUGGUAGACGUUUCGAUGGUGCUUGCUGCCUCCAUCAUCAGGGCGAUGAAUAUUGCUGUCUUCUGGGAUGUUGAAGGGAGGAAACCAACUGAGUGUAAUUUGGAUAAUAAUAUUAAAUUGGAUAUUAAAGCAAUAGGAUGUGAAGGUGUGGACUGGAGUUAAUAUUUUUUGGUAUUCUGUACGAUGUACGGAUUCUGACCUCUGGUGAAAAGUAUUUUAUUCGUAGACCGAAUAUUAAGUACGGCUUAUAUUCAAAUGUAUACGUCAUAUUGCGUAGUGUAUAACGAAGUGAAAAUUUUUUAAAAUGUAGGCCCUUUUUUUUUCAUAAUAAGCGCAUUUAGGGGUUUAAUAUUGAUUUUUAGUUAGGGUAAGCGAGUUGCGAUAUGAGACAUGACGUGUAGCGCCAACCUUCGUCAUGCAUCUGAACUGUCACCCACUCUCGUUUUAAUUUUAAU